AUAUCCCUUUGAAUUGAUAUUCUCCUAUUCUUUGCGCAAAUAUCCAGUAGUGCGAUUUCUGGGCCAUAGGGUACUUCUAUUUUUAAUUUUUUGAGGAACCUUCAUACUGUCUUCCACAGCAGUUACACCACUUUGC
Herpailurus yagouaroundi (jaguarundi) is the source of this 136-nucleotide long non-coding RNA. RefSeq lists it as uncharacterized. NCBI's taxonomy places the organism in Eukaryota, Metazoa, Chordata, Mammalia, Carnivora, Felidae. The transcript has 3 exons. The record is from RefSeq and is a predicted model, not a curated record.